Non-coding RNA from Neurospora sp. IMI 360204, 100 nucleotides. The record is from the annotation of a GenBank genome assembly. Lineage: Eukaryota; Fungi; Ascomycota; Sordariomycetes; Sordariales; Sordariaceae.
GGGCGUGUGGCUCAGUUGGUAGAGCGUUCGCUUAGCAUACCUACCUUCCAGACGGAGACUGAUAUGCGAAAGGUCCUGGGUUCGAUUCCCAGCUCGUCCA